UGAAAAGUCGAUGACAUGGAGGGCCAAGGAGAAGGUAGAUCUCAAGCCCUAAAAUCAUCACAUAUGCAACAUCUCUAGGCCAGGAUUUAUCUGUUCUGUCCAAGAAGAGAAUAAGGAAUGAGAAACUAAACCCUGGUAGGAAAAGGGUCUCAAGGAAGACAAGGCAUGUGACCAAGGAAGACUGAGGGAGAUGGCGACCUGCUGAGGAGCCAGAGCAGCAGAAUCCCUGGGACUCACAGGUA
This is a long non-coding RNA of Zalophus californianus (California sea lion), 242 nucleotides long. RefSeq lists it as uncharacterized. The record is from RefSeq and is a predicted model, not a curated record. NCBI's taxonomy places the organism in Eukaryota, Metazoa, Chordata, Mammalia, Carnivora, Otariidae. The transcript has 3 exons.